GUCGGGAUAGCUCAGUUGGUAGGAGCAGAGGACUGAA
RNAcentral lists this transfer RNA (37 nucleotides) under Rhynchospora gracillima. Its description in RNAcentral is "partial tRNA-Phe". The record is from RNAcentral. Lineage: Eukaryota; Viridiplantae; Streptophyta; Magnoliopsida; Poales; Cyperaceae.